This 1312-nucleotide ribosomal RNA is filed under the name Ocellarnaca emeiensis. RNAcentral describes it as "16S ribosomal RNA". The stretch from base 614 to 1312 matches the Rfam family "Archaeal large subunit ribosomal RNA", at positions 1423 to 2825 of the family's 2987-position model. Lineage: Eukaryota; Metazoa; Arthropoda; Insecta; Orthoptera; Gryllacrididae. The record is from RNAcentral.
GAAACAAGUAUCUUAAAGAUUGAAUGUGAGUGAAAUGAUAUAAUUUAAUAAAAAUAAUUUUAAAUGUGUGUGUUGAAGUAUAUUUUAUAGAAAAGAUUGAUUAUUUUAUAGUGUAGUAGUAUUGUGAAAGAUGGUUGAAAUAACAGAAAAUUGAUUUAUUUAAAAGUAAUUGUAUAAUGUACCUUGUGUAUUAGGGUUAAUUAAGAUUAUAUUAUAAAUAGUAAUUAUUCUCGAUUUAAAGUGAGUAAUAAUAUUAAAAAUUAAAAUGUUGAACAAUUUUAUUGAAUAAUAUUAUGGGAAUGAAAUGUUAACGAACUUUAAAAUAUCUAGUUAUCUAAGAAGUGAAUUUAAUUCAGAUAUUAAUUUAUUACUUAUUAUUAGUUAUGAGUAAUAUUCUUAAUAUUACUAAUUAAGGGGAUUAGCUCUUGAUUAUAAUUAAUAAUUAUUUUUAUAGAAAUGAAAAAUUAGACUUUAAAGUAGUUAGAUUUUUGGUGUGUUAUAACUUAUUUAAAUAGAAAUUAAAUUUAGUGAUAAUUUUAAUGUUAUAUUAGAUUAAUUUUGUUAAUUAUUAUGAAGUGAAAUAAUGAUUAAAUUAGUAUAAAAGUUAUUUAUGUAGUUAUGUGAAAGUAAAAUUAUGAUAAGGAAUUCGGCAAAAUUAAUGCUCGCCUGUUUAACAAAAACAUGUCUUUUUGUUUAUUUAUAAAGUCUGGCCUGCCCACUGAAGUUUAAAGGGCCGCGGUAUUUUGACUGUGCAAAGGUAGCAUAAUCAUUAGUCUUUUAAUUGAGGACUGGAAUGAAUGGUUGGACGAGGUAUUAACUGUCUCAUUAUAAAAUUUAGAAGUUAAUUUUUUAGUGAAAAAGCUGAAAUAAGUAUAGAGGACGAGAAGACCCUAUAAAGUUUAAUAUAAGGUUAAUUAUAAUAAAUUUAGUUGAAUAUAGUUAUUGUUAUUAUUAUAUUUAGUUGGGGUGACUUAAAGAAUUACUAAACUCUUUAUAAAUUUAAACUAUUAUGUUAGGACAAUUGAUCCAUUAAUUGGUGAUUAGAAGAUUAAAUUACUUUAGGGAUAACAGCGUGAUUUUCUUUGAGAGUUCUUAUCGACAAGAAAGAUUGCGACCUCGAUGUUGAAUUAAGAAUAUUAAUGGGUGUAGAAGUUCAUUAAAUAAGUCUGUUCGACUUUUAAAUUCUUACAUGAUUUGAGUUCAGACCGGCGUGAGCCAGGUCGGUUUCUAUCCUUAUAAUGAUAAAACAUUUUAGUACGAAAGGACCAAAUGUUAAAUAUAUUAUUUAUUGAGGAAUAAUAGUAAACUAUUU